CUAAGAAUCUUCCGCAAUGGGGGGAACCCUGACGGAGCGACGCCGCGUGGACGAUGGAGGCCGUAAGGUUGUAAAGUCCUUUUCCUGGUGAAGAAUAACUCGAGGAGUGGAAAGCCUUGGGGAUGACGUUAGCCAGGGAAUAAGCCCCGGCCAAUUACGUGCCAGCAGCCGCGGUAAUACGUAUGGGGCGAGCGUUGUUCGGAGUUAUUGGGCGUAAAGGGCGUGUAGGCGGCUCAUCAAGUCUGGUGUGAAAAUGCAGGGCUUAACCCUGCAGAUGCGCUGGAAACUGGUGGGCUUGAGUUCUUGAGGGGAAGCUGGAAUUCCAGGUGUAGGGGUGAAAUCUGUAGAUAUCUGGAAGAACACCGGUGGCGAAGGCGAGCUUCUAUCAGAGGACUGACGCUGAGACGCGAAAGCGUGGGGAGCGAACAGG
RNAcentral lists this ribosomal RNA (430 nucleotides) under uncultured bacterium. RNAcentral describes it as "bacterial SSU rRNA". It matches the Rfam family "Bacterial small subunit ribosomal RNA", at positions 355 to 776 of the family's 1533-position model. The record is from RNAcentral.